AGCGAACGUUGGCGGCAGGCUUAACACAUGCAAGUCGAGCGGGCCCUUCGGGGUCAGCGGCAGACGGGUGAGUAACACGUGGGAACGUACCCUUUGGUUCGGAAUAACGCUGGGAAACUAGCGCUAAUACCGGAUACGCCCUUUUGGGGAAAGGCUUGCUGCCGAAGGAUCGGCCCGCGUCUGAUUAGCUAGUUGGUGGGGUAAUGGCCUACCAAGGCGACGAUCAGUAGCUGGUCUGAGAGGAUGAUCAGCCACACUGGGACUGAGACACGGCCCAGACUCCUACGGGAGGCAGCAGUGGGGAAUAUUGGACAAUGGGCGCAAGCCUGAUCCAGCCAUGCCGCGUGAGUGAUGAAGGCCUUAGGGUUGUAAAGCUCUUUUGUCCGGGACGAUAAUGACGGUACCGGAAGAAUAAGCCCCGGCUAACUUCGUG
This 433-nucleotide ribosomal RNA is filed under the name uncultured bacterium. RNAcentral describes it as "partial 16S ribosomal RNA". It matches the Rfam family "Bacterial small subunit ribosomal RNA", at positions 29 to 507 of the family's 1533-position model. The record is from RNAcentral.